Molecule: ribosomal RNA, 468 nt
Filed under: uncultured bacterium
Lineage: Bacteria
Description: partial 16S ribosomal RNA
Rfam family: Bacterial small subunit ribosomal RNA
Source: RNAcentral
GACGAACGCUGGCGGCGUGCUUAACACAUGCAAGUCGAACGGAAAGGCCCUGCUUUUGUGGGGUGCUCGAGUGGCGAACGGGUGAGUAACACGUGAGUAACCUGCCCUUGACUUUGGGAUAACUUCAGGAAACUGGGGCUAAUACCGGAUAGGAGCUCCUGCUGCAUGGUGGGGGUUGGAAAGUUUCGGCGGUUGGGGAUGGACUCGCGGCUUAUCAGCUUGUUGGUGGGGUAGUGGCUUACCAAGGCUUUGACGGGUAGCCGGCCUGAGAGGGUGACCGGCCACCUUGGGACUGAGAUACGGCCCAGACUCCUACGGGAGGCAGCAGUGGGGAAUAUGGCACAAUGGGCGGAAGCCUGAUGCAGCAACGCCGCGUGCGGGAUGACGGCCUUCGGGUUGUAAACCGCUUUCGCCUGUGACGAAGCGUGAGUGACGGUACUGGGUAAAGAAGCACCGGCUAACUACGUG